GAUGAAGAACGCAGCGAAAUGCGAUAAGUAAUGUGAAUUGCAGAAUUCAGUGAAUCAUCGAAUCUUUGAACGCACCUUGCGCCCUUUGGCUAUUCCGAAGGGCAUGCCUGUUUGAGUAUCAUGAACACCUCAACCCUCAUGGUUUGCCAUGAUGGGCUUGGACUUUGGGGGUCUUGCUGGAUUGUAGUCAGCUCCCCUUAAAUGAAUCAGCUUGCCAGUGUUUGGUGGCAUCACAGGUGUGAUAAAUAUCUACGCUUGUGGUUUUACAUCAGAUAACCUUCAGUGAUGGAGGUUCACUGGAGCUCAUAAAGGUGUCUCUCCUCUGUGAGGACAGCUCUUUGAAUGUUUGAUCUCAAAUCAGGCAGGACUACCCGCUGAACUUAAGCAUAUCAAUAAGCGGAGGA
RNAcentral lists this unclassified non-coding RNA (404 nucleotides) under soil metagenome. RNAcentral's name for it is "partial contains 5.8S ribosomal RNA, internal transcribed spacer 2, and large subunit ribosomal RNA". The stretch from base 1 to 121 matches the Rfam family "5.8S ribosomal RNA", at positions 35 to 154 of the family's 154-position model. The record is from RNAcentral.